UACGAAGGGGGCUAGCGUUGUUCGGAUUUACUGGGCGUAAAGCGCACGUAGGCGGACUGUUAAGUCGGAGGUGAAAGCCCAGGGCUCAACCCUGGAAUUGCCUUCGAUACUGGCAGUCUUGAGUGUGAUAGAGGUUAGUGGAAUUCCUAGUGUAGAGGUGAAAUUCGUAGAUAUUAGGAAGAACACCAGUGGCGAAGGCGGCUAACUGGAUCACAACUGACGCUGAGGUGCGAAAGCGUGGGGAUCAAACAGG
RNAcentral lists this ribosomal RNA (253 nucleotides) under uncultured bacterium. RNAcentral describes it as "partial 16S ribosomal RNA". It matches the Rfam family "Bacterial small subunit ribosomal RNA", at positions 524 to 776 of the family's 1533-position model. The record is from RNAcentral.